CACCGCCUGGGGAGUACGACCGCAAGGGUAAAACUCAAAUGAAUUGACGGGGACCCGCACAAGUAGUGGAGCAUGUGGUUUAAUUCGAAGAUACACGCAGAACCUUACCAACACUUGACAUGUUCGUCGCGACUUUAAGAGAUUAAAGUUUUCGGUUCGGCCGGACGAAACACAGGUGCUGCAUGGCUGUCGUCAGCUCGUGUCGUGAGAUGUUGGGUUAAGUCCCGCAACGAGCGCAACCCUCACUUUUAGUUGCCAUCAUUAAGUUGGGCACUCUGAAAGAACUGCCAGUGAUAAGCUGGAGGAAGGUGGGGAUGACGUCAAGUCCUCAUGGCCCUUACGUGUUGGGCUACACACGUGCUACAAUGGUAUCUACAACAGGAAGCAAGACGGCGACGUUUAGCAAAUCCUUAAAAGAUACCUCAGUUCGGAUUGCACUCUGCAACUCGAGUGCAUGAAGCUGGAAUUACUAGUAAUCGUGGAUCAGCGUGCCACGGUGAAUGCGUUCCCGGGUCUUGUACACACCGCCCGUCACACCAUGGGAGUUGGUUCUACCUUAAGGCAAGGUUUUAAACCCUUGACCACGGUAUAGUCAGCGACUGGGGUGAAGUCGUAACAAGGUAGCCGUAGGGGAACCUGCGGCUGGAUUACCUCCUUUCUAAGGAUGAAUGAAAGUAAAAUUUUAUUCUAAAUAAUAUACAUAGGUAAUGUUGACCGUCCUCAUUUCUCUUCUUAAAGUAGUGUUUCUCUUGCAUGGGGGCCGGUAGCUCAGUUGGUUAGAGCACACCCUUGAUAAGGGUGGGGUCGAAAGUUCGAGUCUUUCUCGGCCCACCAAUAUAAGAUCAAUGGGGGAUUAGCUCAGCUGGGAGAGCGCCUGAUUUGCAUUCAGGAGGUCAGCGGUUCGAUCCCGCUAUCCUCCACCAAAAACACUUAGUUAUAAAAAAUUGUAAAUAAAAUAAUAAUUAAUAUCAAUAUCUAUAUCCGAACAUUAGUUUAGUAAUGUUAUUAGCUAAUGUUCAAAAUAAAAAUUUGAUUCAACACAGAAUUUUUUUCUG
This 1055-nucleotide small RNA is filed under the name uncultured Pelagibacterales bacterium. RNAcentral describes it as "bacterial SSU rRNA". The stretch from base 1 to 658 matches the Rfam family "Bacterial small subunit ribosomal RNA", at positions 867 to 1533 of the family's 1533-position model. Lineage: Bacteria; Pseudomonadati; Pseudomonadota; Alphaproteobacteria; Candidatus Pelagibacterales. The record is from RNAcentral.